This is a non-coding RNA of Octopus bimaculoides (California two-spot octopus), 46 nucleotides long. Lineage: Eukaryota; Metazoa; Mollusca; Cephalopoda; Octopoda; Octopodidae. The record is from Rfam.
CCAACGGCCCUUCUAAGGGCCACCCAUGUCUUCAUGAAAGUUUUGU